Non-coding RNA from Aegilops tauschii subsp. strangulata, 1031 nucleotides. The record is from RefSeq and is a predicted model, not a curated record. Lineage: Eukaryota; Viridiplantae; Streptophyta; Magnoliopsida; Poales; Poaceae.
UGGAAUGUGGGGGGUCUCAAAGAAUUUUUAUAAAUAAAAAUCCAAAUAUCAACAUUUUCUAAUCUCGCUCGAUGGUUGAGGUCUUAUAUAGAACAUCAUCAGUAUAAUGAUGUUGAAAGCAACCUGCCAACAUCAUUUUCUCCGGAACAUUGAGAACCGAUAGGAUUCUAUGUGUAUUUACACUGACAUUCUCUCUUCUUCGACUAACUGAACAUUGAAUUAAUGUCGUACAUGCAUCCUACUUCAUAUGAGCAGCGCUCAUGUUUCCAAAAAAUAAACAGUGUGAGUUUACUAUUAAAGUGGAUGUCUUGUUUCUCCAGGAAUGAGCUUAAAAAACACAUGAGCUACUGUGACUAGGUGGCCACUUGAUUAGGUGUAUGUGUUAGUUUUAUGUUCUGUAACAUGUUAGCCGUAGGCAGUAUUUUUGGACCGAGACUUGCUCCUGUUGUUUGUUUCAGAUAUUCAGUUUAAGAUCUAAAUUUCACCAAUAUGUCUUUUGUUUACCUUUCCUGAUGUGUUUUAGAUGAACAGAAUCACUUGUGUUUAUAUGGAUAGUAGCUACUUUUACUUCAGCACAUAAAGAACGAAAUCUGUAUGAGUAUUUUUUAAAGCAUUUCUACAUAAGCAAAACAUAUCAAGGGGCAGUAUGCUGGAAUAAAAUCAUAUAUACAAAUUUGUUUCUAGAGCAAGGAUGAAAAGCACUCCAUACACACUCACAAGGAUGAUGAUCCAUCUGUUUCUAGGAUGGUGGGACUUGAGGUCAAACUGCACAGCAAGCCCAUUUGGGGAAUGUAUUUGAACAAUGACCCAAGCAGUCGCACAAGUGGAUCUGCACAUAUUAUUAUCAAGAUCUUGCAUGUGAUUAACCGGGCGGGAGGAGAUGGAAGAAGGGCUUGGCCACUUGGAUCGUGAGAUGACUAUUCGCAAAACAGAGUAGGUCAUGGUGGAUGAAGAGAACAUUAACCGACAGACUUUUCGGUUGCUGAUCAAAUAUAAAAUAUGUAAUUUUCUGUUUCAGUAAUAAACGGGCA